AGUGAACGCUGGCGGUAGGCCUAACACAUGCAAGUCGAACGGCAGCACAGUAAGAGCUUGCUCUUACGGGUGGCGAGUGGCGGACGGGUGAGGAAUACAUCGGAAUCUACUUUUUCGUGGGGGAUAACGUAGGGAAACUUACGCUAAUACCGCAUACGACCUACGGGUGAAAGCAGGGGAUCUUCGGACCUUGCGCGAUUGAAUGAGCCGAUGUCGGAUUAGCUAGUUGGCGGGGUAAAGGCCCACCAAGGCGACGAUCCGUAGCUGGUCUGAGAGGAUGAUCCGCCACACGGUAACUGAGACACGUUCCAGACUCCUACAGGAGGCAGCAGUGGGGAAUAUUGGACAAUGGGCGCAAGCCUGAUCCAGCCAUACCGCGUGGGUGAAGAAGGCCUUCGGGUUGUAAAGCCCUUUUGUUGGGAAAGAAAAGCAGCAGGUUAAUACCCCGCUGUUCUGACGGUACCCAAAGAAUAAGCACCGGCUAACUUCGUG
Molecule: ribosomal RNA, 492 nt
Filed under: uncultured bacterium
Lineage: Bacteria
Description: partial 16S ribosomal RNA
Rfam family: Bacterial small subunit ribosomal RNA
Source: RNAcentral